UGCAAGUCGAACGAUGAAGUCCUUCGGGAUGGAUUAGUGGCGAACGGGUGGGGAACACGUGAAGAAUCUGCCCUCCACUUUGGGAUAACUCCGGGAAACCGGGGCUAAUACCGAAUAUUGAAACAUAAGUGGCAUCACUGAGUUUUGAAAGAAUUUCGGUGGAGGAUGACUUCGCGGCCUAUCAGCUAGUUGGUGAGGUAAUGGCUCACCAAGGCGACGACGGGUAGCCGGCCUGAGAGGGCGACCGGCCACACUGGGACUGAGACACGGCCCAGACUCCUACGGGAGGCAGCAGUGGGGAAUAUUGGGCAAUGGACGCAAGUCUGACCCAGCGACGCCGCGUGCGGGAUGAAGGCCUUCGGGUUGUAAACCGCUUUCAGCAGGGAAGAAGCGAAAGUGACGGUACCUGCAAAAGAAGCACCGGCUAACUAUGUGCCAGCAGCCGCGGUAAUACAUAGGGUGCAAGCGUUGUCCGGAAUUAUUGGGCGUAAAGAGCUCGUAGGUGGUUAGUUACGUCGGGUGUGAAAAUCUGGGGCUCAACCCCAGACCUGCACUCGAUACGGGCUAGCUAGAGUUUGGUAGGGGAGACUGGAAUUCCUGGUGUAGCGGUGGAAUGCGCAGAUAUCAGGAGGAACACCAAUGGCGAAGGCAGGUCUCUGGGCCAAUACUGACACUGAGGAGCGAAAGCGCGGGGAGCGAACAGGAUUAGAUACCCUGGUAGUCCGCGCCGUAAAC
RNAcentral lists this ribosomal RNA (735 nucleotides) under uncultured Actinomycetes bacterium. RNAcentral's name for it is "bacterial SSU rRNA". It matches the Rfam family "Bacterial small subunit ribosomal RNA", at positions 56 to 807 of the family's 1533-position model. Lineage: Bacteria; Bacillati; Actinomycetota; Actinomycetes. The record is from RNAcentral.